CGCAUGGUUCAGGGAUAUUUGUGCAUGAUCCGAUGGUCUAGAUUAUGUGCGGUCAUGAUCGGACGGUUGGAACUCAAUCCGAGCAUGAUCAGGCUUGAUCUAAGGCUAUAGUAUACGAUCGGAUGGCUCUGGUGUGAGCCGAUCACGAUCGGAUGGCCAUAGAUGAUUUUAGAUUUGAUUUGGACUCGGUAUUCCUAGUAUAACACUAUUUUAAAAAUUCUAGAGCCUAUAUAGCUCUGAUUGACAAGCCAUUUAUUGCGUUGAAUAGCUGAUGACGUCCUGAAGGUACAAAAAAGUUUCAAAAG
This 305-nucleotide long non-coding RNA is filed under the name Elaeis guineensis (African oil palm). Its description in RNAcentral is "long non-coding RNA (EGUI_LNC004021)". The record is from RNAcentral. Lineage: Eukaryota; Viridiplantae; Streptophyta; Magnoliopsida; Arecales; Arecaceae.